AAACUUUCAACAACGGAUCUCUUGGUUCCGGCAUCGAUGAAGAACGCAGCGAAAUGCGAUAACUAAUGUGAAUUGCAGAAUUCAGUGAAUCAUCGAGUCUUUGAACGCACAUUGCGCCCCUUGGUAUUCCGGGGGGCAUGCCUGUCCGAGCGUCAUUU
Molecule: ribosomal RNA, 158 nt
Filed under: Penicillium costaricense
Lineage: Eukaryota; Fungi; Ascomycota; Eurotiomycetes; Eurotiales; Aspergillaceae
Description: 5.8S ribosomal RNA
Rfam family: 5.8S ribosomal RNA
About the family: 5.8S ribosomal RNA (5.8S rRNA) is a component of the large subunit of the eukaryotic ribosome.
Source: RNAcentral